RNAcentral lists this ribosomal RNA (478 nucleotides) under uncultured bacterium. RNAcentral describes it as "partial 16S ribosomal RNA". It matches the Rfam family "Bacterial small subunit ribosomal RNA", at positions 28 to 523 of the family's 1533-position model. The record is from RNAcentral.
GACGAACGCUGGCGGCGUGCUUAACACAUGCAAGUCGAACGGUAAGGCCCUUCGGGGUACACGAGUGGCGAACGGGUGAGUAACACGUGGGUGAUCUGCCCUGCACUUCGGGAUAAGCCUGGGAAACUGGGUCUAAUACCGGAUAGGACCACUGCCUGCAUGGGUGGUGGUGGAAAGCUUUUGCGGUGUGGGAUGGGCCCGCGGCCGAUCAGCUUGUUGGUGGGGUGAUGGACUACCAAGGCGACGACGGGUAGCCGGCCUGAGAGGGUGACCGGCCACACUGGGACUGAGAUACGGCCCAGACUCCUACGGGAGGCAGCAGUGGGGAAUAUUGCACAAUGGGCGCAAGCCUGAUGCAGCGACGCCGCGUGAGGGAUGACAGCCUUCGGGUUGUAAACCUCUUUCAGUACCGACGAAGCGCAAGUGACGGUAGGUGCAGAAGAAGGACCGGCCAACUACGUGCCAGCCGCCGCCGUAA